GCUAGUGUAGUUUAAUUUAAAAUAAUAAUUUUGUAAAUUAUAGAUGAGUAAUCCUUUAGCU
RNAcentral lists this transfer RNA (61 nucleotides) under Grandidierella taihuensis. RNAcentral describes it as "tRNA-Thr". The record is from RNAcentral. Lineage: Eukaryota; Metazoa; Arthropoda; Malacostraca; Amphipoda; Corophiidae.